GGUACAUAGCCACAUUUAAAUCAAAUGUGUAAAGGGAUAUUUAAUGAAAUAUAAACCUUUCUCCCACUGUAGAUUCCCAGUAUUUUAUCCCAAGGGACAAUCACUGAUAUGCAAAUAUAUGUUUAUUAUCUUCCACUUUCACAUCAAUUGACAUAAAAUUUAACAUAGUAUUAUUAUCUGUGUUUUAGUCUUUUAGGAGUAUUGGAAGCUAUGGAGAUAGGCCUUUAGGCAGUCCUGAAUUUCUGUCAUACUUGGGAUGGUCAGAUCCCAGAAGUGAUUGGAACUAGCAUUUGGUUCAUAUAAGACUGAUGUAUUUGCUCAUGAAUGUGACUGAACUGGUCCAUGUUAGAUAGCAGUUUGCUGAAAGAUAUAGAGGUGAUUAUUCUAAGAAUAAGAACAACUAAAACUCUGACACAUUUGAGUUUUAAUUUGUGGCAGUUAAUUUUGGGCCACAAGGAAUAAAGAACAUUCCCUCUUCUUCCUGAGCAGGAUCUUAGUUGACCUUCCUAUGACCCAAAAGUAUCAUCACCUUUCUCAUCCAGCUCAGUCACCAACAUCCACAGAAGGGAAACUCGCAGGGCAGAGAAGCUUGGAUUUCUGACAUGGAGAAUGCAGCCGAACCUCUAGCUAUGUGCAUCUAGCUUAAUAUAAAUAACAUCUCACUCCUGUUACUUAAAUAAAAAGACCCAGUGUACUCUGUCCAUUGGAGUCCAUCAGUCACCCUCACAUUGUAAUAAUAAUUUAGAUGCUAUACUUCUAAGCCAUUUUGUUCCCUAACCCAGAUUACAAAAUAGAAACUUCCAGUUCAGGUUGGUGUCCUCAGUACGCAUAUCUAACUCCCCUAUACUUCAAAAUACCAUUAAAGAAAGAAAUAUUCAAAACUCCUAAAUGUAUUUUAUAGCCUAAAAAUCAGAAACUAGAACCAUAUUCUUUUUGAAAUCAGAAUUAACAUUGAUUUUAUGUUAGUGGCUCUGAUGGUUAAUUUACAUGUCAAAUUGGCUGGCCCAUAGGCUGCCCAGAUAUUCAGUCAAACAUCAUUCAAGGUACUUCUGUGUUUUUGGAUGAGUAUAAUAUUUAAAUUGGUGAAUAAAGUUGAGUAAGGUAAUUUGUUCUCUGUCAUUGUGUGGACCUUAUCUAUCAGUUGAGGGCAUAAAUAGAAAGAAAAGACCAGCCUCCUGCAAGCAAGGGAGAAUUCUUUAAAAAGAGGCCUUGGACUUGAACUUUCCUUGGUUUCUACCCAGUAGCUUUUGGACUUGCCAUCCAUCUAUAAUUGUAGAAGCCAGUUGCUUAUAAUAAAUGUAUUUAUACACACACACACACACACACACACACACACACACACAUCCUGUUGUUUCUGUUCUUCUAGAAAACCUUGGUUAAUACAAUGAACAGAUCAAAUCAGAGUUAGCAGUGUUUAGCCUAAGUGUAUGUUACGUUUAAAGUGAGAGUUGUUUUCUCCACUGAAAUUAAGAAUAAGUUUUACGUAUUGAGUUGGCAGAUAGAGAAUAAAAAUGAGCCAUGAUACUAAAGUUCAGAUUUUAUAAGCAAAAUAACAGAUCAAUAAUAGGCUUAAAGUCAACUGACAAAGUCAACUGUGUGUGUUAUCUCUUAUUUAUCUGUCUACCUAUCUAUUAUCUAUUUAUCAUCUAUAUAAACAGCUGACAUUUGAGAGGGCUUACUGUAUCAGGUGCUGUAUUGAAUACAGUACAUAGAUCAUUCCAUUUAAUUAUCACAACUACCUUACAAAGUAGGUACUAUUUUGUGUUUAUUUAACAUAUGAAGGUAAAUUUUCAUAGAGUGAACUAAAAAUUUAAUAUAGUGAAUAGUUUUUCCAAGCUCAGAUGGAUAGUAUGGGCUGAGGUUUCUGACACCAGUGCCUUGAAUUAUUUGGUCAUAGUUACCUAGCCAGUAAAUGAAAAAGCUGAAAUUAGAACCCAGGCAGUCAUACUGUAAUGCUAAAUCGUCAUGUUCCAUGAAGAAUUCUUCAAAAAUUACAUGGAGCAGCAUAUCUUUAAUAGUAAACCCCCUUAGGACAUUAUCAUAAGAGAAAAUUAUAAGCCGAAAUCUCUCAGGCAUACGUUUGCAAAAGGUCCUAAACAAAAUAUUAGCAAAGUGAAUCUAUCUAUCUAUCCAUCUAGUAAAUAAUAACAUAGUGUGUUAUUAGAAUAUUGCACAGUUGCUUUUUAAUAUUAAAAAACCAAUGCAAUUCACCGCACUAAAACUAAAUAAAGGAGAAAAAUAAUGUGAUCAUAUAAAUAUGUUUAGAAAAAAUAUUCAAUAAAGUGCAGUAUUCAUUCAUGACCAAAACUCCUUGGCAAAUUAGAAAUGGAAUGGAAUUUCAUUAAUCCAAUAAAAUAUAUCAAGAAAAGAAUUUACAGGACCAUAUUACAUAGUAGCAAGUAUUUUUAUCUUUUCUCUGGAGGUGGAAAACAUUUAUCACCAUUUAAAAUUUUUUCAGCAUUAUACUAGAGGGCCUACCAAAUGCAAAUAUGGCAAGAAAAUAAAGGGAUGGAGAUUGGAAAGGAACUUUUAAACUGCAUUAUUCAAAGAAGGCAUGAUUAUGUACUUAGAAAAUCCACAGAAUCUACAAAAAUACAUUAUAAUUAAUGUCAAUUUAGUAAAUCACUGGAUACAUAAUCAAUAUACAAAAUUAAUUGCCUUCCUAUGAAUUACCAGCAAAUAUUAAGGAAGAAAUGAAUAAAUACCAUUUACAACUGCACAAAAAAACCCCCAGAUACUCAUAGGUAAUUCCUAUGAAAUAUAUCCAAGUUAUCUGCAUUGUAAACAGCAAAGCAGUGCGGAGAAAAAAAAAAUUAAUCCAACAAAUAAAGAACAUUUUCUUGCAUUGGAGAACUCAAUAUUAAGAUGUAAAUUUGGUGAAUUCCACUGUGACACAAUGGAUUAAUGAUCUGGCACUGUCACUGCCACGACUCAGGUCACUGCUGUGGUGCAGGUUUGAUCCCUGCCUGGGGAGCUUCCACAUGCCAUGGGUAUGGCCAAAAAAAAGGAUGUAAGUUUUUCUGAAAUUGAUCUGUAUAUUCAGUGUUAUCUCAACCAAAUUACAGAAGGAUAUUUCUUUUUUUUUUUUUCUUUUUAAUGCGGGAAAGGUGAUUGGUCUGCUAAUUCUAAAAUGUAUGAAGGAGUUCCCAUUGUGGCUCAGUGGGUUGAAAUUCCAACUAGUAGACUUGGAGAACAGACUUGUGGUUGCCAAGUGGGCGGGGGAGAGAGUGGGUUGGACUGGGAAUUUGGGGUUAUAAGAUGCAAACUAUUGCCUUUGGAAUGGAUAAGCAAUGAGAUCCUGCUGUAUAGCACUGGGAACUAUAUCUAGUCACUUAUGAUGGAGCAUGAUAAUGUGAGAAAAAGAAUGUGUAUACCUGUGUGUGACUGGGUCACUUUGCUGUACAGUACAAAAUUGACAGAACACUGUAAACCAGCUAUAAUGGCAAAAAUAAAAAUCAUUUAAAAUAAAAAUAGGAUCCUUAACCCACUGAGCAAGGCCAGGGAUCGAACCUGCAACCUCAUGGUUCCUAGUCAGAUUCCUUAACCACUAAACCACGAAGGGAACUCCAGGUAUUUUCUAAUAUUGAUGGAUCAAUAAAAUGGAGAUAUGUAAAAAUAUUAUUUAGAGUAAUUACUAGACAAGAUUAAAAGCAACUGAUUAAGUGAGAAUUUUAUUCAUUUAUUGCUUAUUUUUAAACAGUAUGUAUGUAUUGUUUCAUAACGAACACUUUAAAGUUGUAAAACAUAUUUCAUAUUCGAGUAUACUGAAUAUGAAUUAAAAGCUGCAGGACUCCCAUUUCACUAAUGUUGAUGUAGAUACAACAGGACAGCCAUUAAAAAUAUAGCAGAAGCCAAAAUCUGUCCAAGUCAAGGCUUCAAAUAGAUUGCAGCUGAAAGUCUUCUCACCUACCAGCCUCAAUAAAGACCAUUUCCUGGAUCCUUACACAAACAAGCAUAUGCAUUAGUCAGUGCGUGAGAUUCAGUGGGGAGGACUUGGCAGAAAGACAAAAAAGAGUCUCCAAACUUCUUUGGAAAGUGUUUUGCCACUUAUCCUAAAGCUAUAACUCUGCCAACUGGAGCCAGUGGGCUAUUAUAAAUUUAUAUAUGCAUUUAAUCUGCCUGGAGAAUUUUUUUACUUAUAUGGUACAUCAACAUUUCAAAACAACCUUUUAAGAUACAGAAUCUUCCAAGAGGAAGCCUCUUUAUAUGUGAAAGGCAGCUUUCCUUCUGAGGGACAGCAAUGACUAGUUUGUUUGAGUACAAAACUGACAGUUGGGAAAGUCUGAAAUAUAAUUCUGGCUUUUCUACUCCCUUAGGUUGGCCAUACAGAAUAAACACGAACCUGUUAAACAAGCAGAAUUUUGGAGGAAGUACAUAUACAUAUUAAUGAAGAGCUAGAAACUCUGCUGUAAUAAGGGUUAGAGAAAUUUCUUGACCACUAUCUGAAUGACCUUGUCUGAUUGGAUUUGGAUGGAAACCAUUGGCAAAUUUAGCACAGACUUCACGAAGCUUUACAAAAUGAACUGAGAAUGAAAUAAAAGGAAUCUGUUGAAAAAGUAUGCAAGCCUGUGAAAUUGUUUUGCCUUUAUAAUCUGAAGAGAAAGAAGUUUAAAAUAUUGCAAAUGAAGUUCCCGCUGUGGUGUUGUGGGUUAAGAAACCAACUGCAGCAGCUUGGUUCAGUCCCUGGCCCGGCACAGUGGGUUAAAGGAUCUGGUGUUGUCCCAGCUAUGACACAGGUCACAGCUUUGGCUUGGAUUCGAUCCCUGGUCUUAGAACUCCCAUGUGCUGCACAUGCCACCAUAAAAAAUAAUGCAGAUGAGUGACUUGUUAACAUUAAUGAAAAUUCAAGAGAAAAUUAAUGAGAUAAUGAAAUAAUGCUAGAGCCUGAAAGAAUAGUUCUUAUAAAAAAUAAUUUUGUUGCAUUCUAGAGGAGCAAUCUUAUCCUUUGAUAAGCCUCCUGCAUGGAAACUUCCUCAUCAUGCUAUAUCAGGCUUUAGCCUCAGGCAUCUCCAGGAGCUUUGGAUCACUAACUGCUGGUUGAGAUCCACUCUGCAAAUGGUAUGACUAGUUAUAUAUGGCGACUGUUUGCAGUCUUUUUAGUUUGACUUGCUGUAAGGAAACAAAAUUCACCAUAGAAUCUGAGAAAAGUUACCUCAAACUAUCUGGUGGAAAAUGUGUAUAAAACAAAAGGGCUGAAGAGCUCAACAGCAAGCAACUGGGGGAUUGCAGGAUUAAAUAAAGGAUAUAUUAAGUGGAGAGAGGUAUCAGCAGAACAAUUCCAAUAUUAAGGAGACCUCUUUCAUAUGGGCCAUCUAAAUCCUGGCUUGGGAAUUGGUGGAGUUAUCAAAUGGAUUAGUCAUUUAACUAGAUUAUUGGUUAGGGAUUCAAACUUCUUCAAAAUGAAGCCUAGCCUUUUAAAUGCUGAUUAGCAAAUUCAGUCCUGAACCAGAUUUUUGAGGUGGGCUAAAAUACUGGAAUAGCACAUGAAGAAUCAGUGAUAUGAUCCUGUAUGAUUUAGUAGUUCUAAGUCUAUAACUUAUAAUAGUAUACCUGUGACUGUUUCACAAAUUCUCAAGUUAAAUAUCAUAAUUUUUUUGAGGAAAUGUAACAACUCAGAGAAUCCUUAUAACUUGUAGGAAAGGUAAUUCUGAUGAUUAAUCACGUUGUGGACUUGCUCACAUAAGCAUGAUUCCAAGCUCUUUAGUGUUGCCCCUUUUACUAUGUCCACUGCAAGAAGACUUCUUUGAAAA
This 5750-nucleotide long non-coding RNA is filed under the name Sus scrofa (pig). RNAcentral describes it as "lncRNA (ENSSSCG00060063962.1)". The record is from RNAcentral. Lineage: Eukaryota; Metazoa; Chordata; Mammalia; Artiodactyla; Suidae.